RNAcentral lists this ribosomal RNA (275 nucleotides) under uncultured Ohtaekwangia sp. RNAcentral describes it as "partial 16S ribosomal RNA". It matches the Rfam family "Bacterial small subunit ribosomal RNA", at positions 338 to 611 of the family's 1533-position model. Lineage: Bacteria; Pseudomonadati; Bacteroidota; Cytophagia; Cytophagales; Fulvivirgaceae. The record is from RNAcentral.
CCUACGGGUGGCUGCAGUAGGGAAUAUUGGUCAAUGGAUGGAAGUCUGAACCAGCCAUGCCGCGUGCAGGAAGAAGGCCUUCUGGGUUGUAAACUGCUUUUGCCAGGGGAUAAAAAGCUCGUGCGCGAGUUAUUGAAGGUACCUGGUGAAUAAGCCACGGCUAACUACGUGCCAGCAGCCGCGGUAAUACGUAGGUGGCAAGCGUUGUCCGGAUUUAUUGGGUUUAAAGGGUGCGUAGGCGGUCUAUUAAGUCAGUGGUGAAAUAUCGCAGCUUA